UGUAAGAGAACUAACUCUCCACAUGCCUCAG
RNAcentral lists this non-coding RNA (31 nucleotides) under Mus musculus (house mouse). Lineage: Eukaryota; Metazoa; Chordata; Mammalia; Rodentia; Muridae. The record is from RNAcentral.